UUCAUUGCAUACAAAGUUUGGUUAUAAUGGAAAUUAUGCUCAGGACAUUCUUGAAGUUUGUGGUGAUUCUUGCUGCUAUCGCAUGUGCUCUAGUUGGCAAUGUGCAAGGUGACACAUCUUGUUGUGAAAGAGGUGAAAUAUGUGACCCACCCCCUUGUAUUAGGCGCCCAUGUUGUGACCCACCAUUGGGAAAAAUGAAGCCAUAAUAAUACUUGGUUUCUCUUUUAUCUUUUCACCAAUCAUUUUGUAUUUACAAAAAGUUCUUCUCAUAUCUAAUAAUCUUAUAAAUAAAAUUGGUGAAUAAAUUUUAUGCAGUAUAUAUUGGCG
Molecule: long non-coding RNA, 327 nt
Filed under: Medicago truncatula (barrel medic)
Lineage: Eukaryota; Viridiplantae; Streptophyta; Magnoliopsida; Fabales; Fabaceae
Description: long non-coding RNA (MTRU_LNC003972)
Source: RNAcentral